Phoenix dactylifera (date palm) is the source of this 1344-nucleotide long non-coding RNA. RefSeq lists it as uncharacterized. The record is from RefSeq and is a predicted model, not a curated record. NCBI's taxonomy places the organism in Eukaryota, Viridiplantae, Streptophyta, Magnoliopsida, Arecales, Arecaceae.
UGCCUCUCCAAUCUUCUCCAACUUUCUUCUCGAGAGAGGACUCUGCUAGACGCUCUUUCUCUCCUUUUUCUUCUCCUUCUUUGUAUAAUAAGGCGAUGAUGGGUGACUCGGAAUCGUUCUUCUUCUUCUCCUCUUGUUUGCGUUCCGUAUUCUCCAGCGGUUGGCGAGGCAGCUCUGGAAGGCCUGCUGUUCCGCAGAUUCCGAACUCGGAUCAUGAUUCUUUUUCAAUUAUCACGGAAGCGUUGUUCUCCUUCUCCUCUUCUUGGGAGUUCUCUAGUGCAGCCAUCGUUAGAUGGAGAGACCGCCGGAGGAGAAGAGAACUCGGAUCUUUCGUUCCAAUCGAUUCAAGAACUCUACUAAGCCCUUGUGCCCUAAUCCGUGAAUCUUUUUCCAUUAUGACGGAGCCCUUCUUUCUUUUCUACUUUAUUCUCUCUUGCUCUCCUCUUUCUUCUUCUUCCUCUUCUCCUUCUUCUUCGUUUUCCAAAUUGGGAUAGCGGGUAUCGCUUUUUAGGGUUAUUUAUAGAAGUUUUGAUGAUUCUUGGACCGGGGUUUUGCUGCAUUGCCAAGCGGGAAAUGGGGGAAAUGGCUGUUUCCAUGGGCGACACGAUCGUGGAUGGUCUUCUCCUGUUCUACAGGCAACUCGUUUGCAGGUGUUGCAGAGAGUCACGGACGAACAACUCAAUGCUUGCUGGAUUAAACGGCGAAUCUGAGUCUUUUGGAUUUUGUUUUCUAAGCUUUCUUUCAUUUCUUUACUAUAACUAAUUUCUACUUAUGAGUUGUUUGCUGGAGGUUGAUGAAAGUUUGGCGCGGUAGGGAUUGAAUCAAUAUCAGCUACGAUUUCGAGAAUCCCAUUUCUCGAAUAUUUUGUUUUGGUUUCGAGAAAUUUGGGAUUAUCUGUUUGGGAUUUAGCGUUUGUGAGGUCCAGGGGUUUUGAGUCUACUCCCUUCCAAGGAAACUAUUUCAGUUACUUCCUUCACCAACAACAUUCAAGGACCUUGAAGGAGAAUUUUUCUGUUUGCAUGCAAAGCUACAUUACCAACUGGAGCUGGCUCUACACCACCGCAGGAGCCGCAUAGAGAUUUCUCUAGAGCUGAUAAGUUUACCCGCUUCCCUGAAAUCAUCUGACACUUCUUAUUUUUAAAAUUCUCGAGAUCUCAGUCAGAUAAGAAGACUUAUGCUUGUAACUUGCGAAAUUUAACUUUAAAGCAUUUUAAUAUUUUACUUUGUGUUUUUUGUCCUGUAUAACAAUCCUAUGAUUUUUUUUGCAUUCUUUGCUGCUGAAUGUAAAGUCAUCCUGGUCUUAUAUUACUUUGUGGAAGUGAACUUCUUUUUUUGUCUUUAUUA